RNAcentral lists this ribosomal RNA (440 nucleotides) under uncultured bacterium. RNAcentral's name for it is "partial 16S ribosomal RNA". It matches the Rfam family "Bacterial small subunit ribosomal RNA", at positions 338 to 795 of the family's 1533-position model. The record is from RNAcentral.
CCUACGGGUGGCAGCAGUGGGGAAUAUUGCACAAUGGGGGAAACCCUGAUGCAGCGACGCCGCGUGAGUGAAGAAGUAAUUCGUUAUGUAAAGCUCUAUCAGCAGGGAAGAAAAUGACGGUAACUGCGUAUGAAGCCCCGGCUAACUACGUGCCAGCAGCCGUGGUAAUCCGUAGGGGGCAAGCGUUAUCCGGAUUUACUGGGUGUAAAGGGUGCGUAGACGGCAGUGCAAGUCUGGAGUGAAAGGCGGGGGCUCAACCCCCGGACUGCUCUGGAAACUGUACGGCUGGAGUGCAGGAGAGGUAAGUGGAAUUCCUAGUGUAGCGGUGAAAUGCGUAGAUAUUAGGAGGAACACCAGUGGCGAAGGCGGCUUACUGGACUGUAACUGACGUUGAGGCUCGAAAGCGUGGGGAGCAAACAGGAUUAGAUACCCGAGUAGUC